CCUACGGGUGGCAGCAGUGGGGGAUAUUGCACAAUGGGGGAAACCCUGAUGCAGCGACGCCGCGUGUGGGAAGACGGUCCUCUGGAUUGUAAACCACUGUCCCCAGGGACGAAAAUGACGGUACCUGGGGAGGAAGCUCCGGCUAACUACGUGCCAGCAGCCGCGGUAAUACGUAGGGAGUGAGCGUUGUCCGGAAUUGAUGGGUGUAAAGGGGGCGUAGGCGGGGAUGCAAGUCGUGUGUCAAAACUACCGGGUCAACUGGUAGGCGCACUCAAAACUGCAGCUCUUGAGUGAAGUAGAGGCAGGCGGAAUUCCUAGUGUAGCGGUGAAAUGCGUAGAUAUUAGGAGGAACACCAGUGGCGAAGGCGGCCUGCUGGGCUUUUACUGACGCUGAGGCUCGAAAGUGUGGGGAGCAAACAGGAUUAGAUACCCUAGUAGUC
Molecule: ribosomal RNA, 440 nt
Filed under: uncultured bacterium
Lineage: Bacteria
Description: partial 16S ribosomal RNA
Rfam family: Bacterial small subunit ribosomal RNA
Source: RNAcentral